GCCUGACUGUAAACUACUAGCCAAAAAAGUACAAGCCCACGCUUCAAACUUUAAGGACCUGGCGGUACUCUAUAUCAACCUAGAGGGGCCUGCCCAAUAACCGAUAAUCCACGAAAAACCUCACCACUUCUCGCCCUCAGCCUAUAUACCGCCGUCUCCAGCACAUUUCACAAAAAAUGAAGCCCAACAGUACCCACACUAACACGUCAGGUCAAGGUGUAGCCCAUGAAAUGGGAUGAGCGUGGGCCACACUGUAAUAACACACAGAAACCCCUCUGAAACAAGGGGUGGAAGACGAAUUUAGCAGUAAGCGGAAUCGAAUACCCCACUGAACUAAAAUACGCCCUAGAGUACGC
This 356-nucleotide ribosomal RNA is filed under the name Draco melanopogon. RNAcentral describes it as "12S ribosomal RNA". Lineage: Eukaryota; Metazoa; Chordata; Lepidosauria; Squamata; Agamidae. The record is from RNAcentral.